RNAcentral lists this ribosomal RNA (388 nucleotides) under uncultured bacterium. Its description in RNAcentral is "bacterial SSU rRNA". It matches the Rfam family "Bacterial small subunit ribosomal RNA", at positions 30 to 423 of the family's 1533-position model. The record is from RNAcentral.
AUUGAACGCUGGCGGCAUGCUUUACACAUGCAAGUCGAACGGUAGAGGGGGCAACCCCUUGAGAGUGGCGAACGGGUGAGUAAUAUAUCGGAACGUGCCCAGUCGUGGGGAUAACGUAGCGAAAGCUACGCUAAUACCGCAUACGAUCUAUGGAUGAAAGCGGGGGAUCGCAAGACCUCGCGCGAUUGGAGCGGCCGAUAUCAGAUUAGGUAGUUGGUGAGGUAAAGGCUCACCAAGCCGACGAUCUGUAGCUGGUCUGAGAGGACGACCAGCCACACUGGGACUGAGACACGGCCCAGACUCCUACGGGAGGCAGCAGUGGGGAAUUUUGGACAAUGGGCGCAAGCCUGAUCCAGCAAUGCCGCGUGCAGGAUGAAGGCCUUCGGUU